ACUGGGUCUUGCUAACUUACUAAGUUGCUAAGUUACUAACUUUCGAUCCUCUUUUCUCAGCCUCCCAGGGUGCUAAGAUUACAGAAGUGUCUCACCAUGCCCAGGUUAUAGAUUCAGUUUUAUCAUCGGGAAAAAUGUUUUAGAAUUCCAAAUCACUUCACGUACACUAACCUUUGUUGGAAACCAACGUGAAUAAAGUAGUCUUUGAAAAACCAAGAGGUAGUAAUGGCCGGCCAAGACCAACGAAUGCCCUUGGUAGUUGAAGUCAUAAAGCAAUUUAAAUUCAGUAGCAAAGUCUAAUUAUGGGGCAUGAUGUUUCUAAGUGACGAACCAAACAAAUAAGGCAGACUUUCUAAAACCCUCAGGGUGUGGCCAAGCCCCAGAGCCUGCUGCAAUCCAGGUUCCAGUCGUGACAUUUUCGGCCUGUGGCUUCUCUCUUCUCCGCCUUUUCUGUCGCUUUUCUUCUUCUCGUCCUCACUGAAUCCAUGGAUUCUCCAGCCACACAGACCAGGGACACCCAUGGCUGUCCCCAGGUCGCCCCCCAGCUCCCUCCCAGGCAAACACCCAGGUCUCUGGCUCCAUUUACAGCACUGGCCCCACAGUGCCCUCCAGACCAUCCACACUCCCCUGCUGCAGUGACCUGAGAAGCCCAGCUUCCCACCGUGCGAAUCCUGGGAGAGGCCACCACAUUUUGGAUCCCCAGCC
RNAcentral lists this long non-coding RNA (705 nucleotides) under Fukomys damarensis (Damara mole-rat). Its description in RNAcentral is "lncRNA (ENSFDAG00000026780.1)". Lineage: Eukaryota; Metazoa; Chordata; Mammalia; Rodentia; Bathyergidae. The record is from RNAcentral.